Prunus persica (peach) is the source of this 262-nucleotide long non-coding RNA. RefSeq lists it as uncharacterized. NCBI's taxonomy places the organism in Eukaryota, Viridiplantae, Streptophyta, Magnoliopsida, Rosales, Rosaceae. The record is from RefSeq and is a predicted model, not a curated record. The transcript is spliced from 3 exons.
GGAUGUGGUUGGCUUGCUGUUAGUUUUCGACACCAGCUUCACGUUCUGGGAGUUGUAGGCAGCCAGCCCAAAGCAAGAUCUUAGUGCUCCUAUGGCUGAUGACAAUGAGCUCGAACUUUUUGUUUUGCAGAUAUCUUCUGAGAGGCUCAGGGGUUCUUCAUAACAGUUCACAGUAAUGCAGAUUCAAUUAAAGUGUGUGUGAAUUAUACAUUCAUGUUCAAAUGCAGACCCAAGGACUUCAUGCAUCAACAGAAAACAGCCG